CCUACGGGAGGCAGCAGUGGGGGAUAUUGCACAAUGGGGGGAACCCUGAUGCAGCGACGCCGCGUGAGCGAAGAAGUACCUCGGCAUGUAAAGCUCUAUCAGCAGGGAAGAAAAUGACGGUACCUGACUAAGAAGCCCCGGCUAAAUACGUGCCAGCAGCCGCGGUAAUACGUAUGGGGCAAGCGUUAUCCGGAUUUACUGGGGGUAAAGGGAGCGCAGGCGGCCUGCCAAGUCUGGUGGGAAAACCCGGGGCCCAACCCCGGGCCUGCAUUGGAAACUGGCGGGCUGGAGGGUAGGAGGGGCAGGCGGAAUUCCUGGUGUAGCGGUGAAAUGCGUAGAUAUUAGGAGGAACACCGGUGGCGAAGGCGGCCUGCUGGACGAUGACUGACGCUGAGGCUCGAAAGCGUGGGGAGCAAACAGGAUUAGAUACCCUAGUAGUC
This 440-nucleotide ribosomal RNA is filed under the name uncultured bacterium. RNAcentral's name for it is "partial 16S ribosomal RNA". It matches the Rfam family "Bacterial small subunit ribosomal RNA", at positions 338 to 795 of the family's 1533-position model. The record is from RNAcentral.